GUAAGUAACCUGCCUUUAAGACGAGGAUAACAACCGGAAGGUUACUAAGACUGGAUAGGAAACAAAAAGGCAUCUUUUUGUUUUUAAAAGACCUUCUUACGAAGGUAUGCUUAAAGAGGGGCUUGCGCCACAUUAGUUAGUUGGUAGAGUAAAAGCCUACCAAGACGAUGAUGUGUAGCUGGACUGAGAGGUUGAACAGCCACAUUGGGACUGAGACACGGCCCAAACUCCUACGGGAGGCAGCAGUAGGGAAUUUUCGGCAAUGGAGGAAACUCUGACCGAGCAACGCCGCGUGUGUGAAGAAGGCCUUCGGGUUGUAAAGCACUUUAAGUUGGGAGGAAAAGCUAAGGGUUAAUAGCCUUUAGUGUUGACGUUACCAACAGAAUAAGCACCGGCUAACUCCGUGCCAGCAGCCGCGGUAAUACGGAGGGUGCAAGCGUUAAUCGGAAUUACUGGGCGUAAAGCGCGCGUAGGCGGUUAUUUAAGUCAGAUGUGAAAGCCCCGGGCUUAACGCUGGGAAUGGCAUUUGAGACUGGAUGGCUAGAGUAUGGUAGAGGUGAGUGGAAUUUCAGGUGUAGCGGUAAAAUGUGUAAAUAUAUGGAGGAACACCAGAAGCGUAGGCGGCUUGCUGGGUCUUUACUGACGCUGAGGCACGAAAGCGUGGGUAGCAAACAGGAUUAGAUACCCUGGUAGUCCACGCCGUAAACGAUGAGUACUAAGUGUCGGGGUAAAACUCGGUACUGAAGUUAACACAUUAAGUACUCCGCCUGAGUAGUACGUACGCAAGUAUGAAACUUAAAGGAAUUGACGGGACUCCGCACAAGCGGUGGAUCAUGUUGUUUAAUUCGAAGAUACACGAAAAAUCUUACCAGGUCUUGACAUACUCUGCAAAGCUAUAGAAAUAUAGUGGAGGUUAUCAGGGAUACAGGUGGUGCAUGGUUGUCGUCAGUUCGUGUCGUGAGAUGUUAGGUUAAGUCCUAAAACGAACGCAACCCUUGUCGUUAAUUGCCAGCACAUAAUGGUGGGGACUUUAACGAGACUGCCAAUUAAACAUUGGAGGAAGGUGAGGAUUACGUCAAAUCAUCAUGCCCCUUAUGAUCUGGGCUACAAACGUGAUACAAUGGCUGUGACAAAGAGUAGCUGAAACGCGAGUUUUUAGCCAAUCUCAAAAAAGCAGUCUCAGUUCGGAUUGAAGUCUGUAACUCGACUUCAUGAAGUUGGAAUCGCUAGUAAUCGCGAAUCAGCAUGUCGCGGUGAAUACGUUCUCGGGGUUUGUACACACCGCCCGUCAAACCACGAAAGUUAGCAAUGCCCGAAAGCAGUAGCUUAACUUCGCAAGAAGAGGGAACUGUCUAAGGUAGGGUUGAUGAUUGGGG
This 1376-nucleotide ribosomal RNA is filed under the name Brinjal little leaf phytoplasma. RNAcentral describes it as "bacterial SSU rRNA". It matches the Rfam family "Bacterial small subunit ribosomal RNA", at positions 117 to 1480 of the family's 1533-position model. Lineage: Bacteria; Bacillati; Mycoplasmatota; Mollicutes; Acholeplasmatales; Acholeplasmataceae. The record is from RNAcentral.